Molecule: long non-coding RNA, 532 nt
Filed under: Mytilus galloprovincialis (Mediterranean mussel)
Lineage: Eukaryota; Metazoa; Mollusca; Bivalvia; Mytilida; Mytilidae
Source: RNAcentral
CAGCUGGCCCCUAAACAAAAAUAUAUACUAGGUCAGUGAUAAUGGACGUAAUACUUAACUCCGAAAUAUACACAAGAAACUAAAUUUGAAAAUCAAACAAAACUUACAAAGGCAAAAGGCUCCUGGCGCAAAAAUGCGGCGGGGUUAAACAUGUUUUUUGAGAUCUCACCUCUAGCCAAUGUAGAAAAAACAAACACAACAAUAUGCACAGUAAAAUUCAGUUCAUAAAGAAGUCCGAAUCCGGUGUCAGAAUAGAUAACAAAAGAAACUAAGCAAAAUGACAAUGAUACAUAAAUUAACAAAGGACUACUAGUAGUUACUGACAUGCCAGCUCCACCCCUCAAUUAAACUGACUGCAAGAUUAUGUGUUCAUCAUUAGUAUAUGUAAAGACAAAACUGGUAUAAUUUAAGACAUUUAAAGAUGAAAUAAACACUAAUACAGAGAACAACUAUAAAUUAAAAUCUAUUUAGUUCAGCUUCAAUGAUGAAUAUCCAGUUUGUGGGGUCGCAGACCAUCUAAUGUCUUUUCACC